AACGCACAUUGCGCCCGCCAGUAUUCUGGCGGGCAUGCCUGUUCGAGCGUCAUUUCAACCCUCAGGCCCCCGGGUCUGGCGUUGGGGAUCGGCGGAAGCCCCCUGUGGGCACAACGCCGUCCCCCAAAUACAGUGGCGGUCCCGCCGCAGCUUCCAUUGCGUAGUAGCUAACACCUCGCAACUGGAGAGCGGCGCGGCCACGCCGUAAAACACCCAACUUCUGAAUGUUGACCUCGAAUCAGGUAGGAAUACCCGCUGAACUUAA
RNAcentral lists this unclassified non-coding RNA (265 nucleotides) under uncultured Hypocreales. RNAcentral's name for it is "sequence contains 5.8S rRNA gene, ITS2, 28S rRNA gene". The stretch from base 1 to 52 matches the Rfam family "5.8S ribosomal RNA", at positions 103 to 154 of the family's 154-position model. Lineage: Eukaryota; Fungi; Ascomycota; Sordariomycetes; Hypocreales. The record is from RNAcentral.